AGCAGACACUGCCCUGUCCGAAGACAACCGGCUUCCUAAGAAUCCAUCAGCGCUGGGCCGCUGAAGUGGCCCAGUUGAAGCCCGUUGGGUAACAGCGCAUGACGGGUACAGGGGGUUCACGGCCACUUCCCACUCCUCACCAGCAGCUGCGUCACAACGCCCCACGCUUUGCCAUUAACAGACAAUCGCGCACACAAACGUGCGCAUGUUCAGACGACGGAGUGAAAAAUUGAGAAGGGAGAAAGGAUUAAAACCAGCUUGGAGUGCAAAUUGAAUUAGCCCUUUCGGAUGUGUCAGGCAUAAAUCAUCGCACGGAGGAUGAGAACCAGCCGCCUGCAGCUCCUCGAGUCACUCGGGGACCAGCAGGCUGUAUGUUGAUGUACAACAACGACCGAUGGACAUGGGCGGCGGCCAAUUAGAGACUGGCCUGAGGACACUGGAUCCCUCACCUCACCGUGACCUCACCCCGGCCGUAACCCUGACCUUCAUCCCACCUCCAACCUCUGAGUUUAACCCCAACACCGAGUCUCAGCCUGGCGCGCACCCUUCAGACCGAUGCCCCGUGCCUCCGAGGCACAUCUGCUUCGGGAUCCGCCGAAGAAACACCACGAAAUCUGACUCCCACGUGAAAUCCGCUCAUUUUCUCAGUGAUCCACUGCCGUGAGACAAAUGUUGAUGCUUCGUCACUGAAGCCAAAGAGGCAGCGUGGCUGCGCGGAGCCCCUCCCAGAGCACUGACGCUGGGCUGCGAUGUGUUGGUUCAUGCCUUCAGAAAAAGACAAAAAUUGGGACUGAACGGAUAAGGUAUAUUAUUAGUGUGUUUAUUAGGGCAGUUUUCAUAGUAAAUUAA
Betta splendens (Siamese fighting fish) is the source of this 849-nucleotide long non-coding RNA. RefSeq lists it as uncharacterized. The record is from RefSeq and is a predicted model, not a curated record. The transcript is spliced from 3 exons. Lineage: Eukaryota; Metazoa; Chordata; Actinopteri; Anabantiformes; Osphronemidae.